This 301-nucleotide ribosomal RNA is filed under the name uncultured bacterium. RNAcentral's name for it is "partial 16S ribosomal RNA". It matches the Rfam family "Bacterial small subunit ribosomal RNA", at positions 509 to 808 of the family's 1533-position model. The record is from RNAcentral.
CAGUAGCCGCGGUAAUACGUAGGUCCCGAGCGUUGUCCGGAUUUAUUGGGCGUAAAGCGAGCGCAGGCGGUUUGAUAAGUCUGAAGUUAAAGGCUGUGGCUCAACCAUAGUUCGCUUUGGAAACUGUCAAACUUGAGUGCAGAAGGGGAGAGUGGAAUUCCAUGUGUAGCGGUGAAAUGCGUAGAUAUAUGGAGGAACACCGGUGGCGAAAGCGGCUCUCUGGUCUGUAACUGACGCUGAGGCUCGAAAGCGUGGGGAGCGAACAGGAUUAGAUACCCGUGUAGUCCCUGUCUCUUAUACA